Rhincodon typus (whale shark) is the source of this 2993-nucleotide long non-coding RNA. RefSeq lists it as uncharacterized. Lineage: Eukaryota; Metazoa; Chordata; Chondrichthyes; Orectolobiformes; Rhincodontidae. The transcript has 2 exons. The record is from RefSeq and is a predicted model, not a curated record.
CAGUGACAACAUUUAAAAGGCAUUUGGAUGCGUAUAUGAAUAGAAAGGGUUCAGAGAGAUUUGGGCCAAAUGCUGGCAAAUAGAACUAGAUUUAUAUAGGAUCCAAGUUGAACGGGAGGGUCUGCUUCCAUGGUGUAUAUCUCUCUGACUCUAUGGACAACAUUCACUAAAUAAUCUUGAGUGUGCCACGAAGUAUGCUAACAGUACUUUGAGAUUGCCAAUCAGAUUCACAGUGAGAUGCACUUGCAUGUACUGCAUAUAAUGUAUAGCAAGGCCCCAGUUCUUUGCGGACAGAAAAAAAAGCGUCGGUACUGUGCCUCUUUGAACUUAACACAAUAGACAACAUCCAUUCACUGGUUCAUUCCCAUGAUAAUGUCAUAUCCAGUCAGACUCAACCUUCCUGAUUUAAAUUUAAACAAAGCUUGGCAGUUAACAUUAACUGAUUAUCAUUAACUGUUACAUUCUCCAUGGAAAUGCCUCUACCAAUCAUAGUUCAUUUGCCAAUCAAUCAGCAUUGGCUUCAUUGCCCUUUAUUUUGGUAUUUCUUGUGAAUAUCCUGAUGAGUGCAAGAUGAAAAGCUUUGACAAAAUGUGUUAUUUCUGUUUCAGAAAUACUCAUAUUUAAGAGUGUUGCCUUGUCUGAUUAAUACAACUGAAAAUGGGUUUAUCACAAAUGAAUAGUAUUCUUAAAUUACUGUCAACCACAACGUGUGGUUAACCCAAUUUUAAAUGACUGUAAAUUACUUCAGAAUUUCAGUGUGAAAGCACUCACCUCCUGGUCCGCUGAGACCUCACUUGGUGUUUAGCUGCUCUCAGUUGGGGUCAGAGUCAAAGUUAAAAGGUAAUUGACCGUGAGACCCCCCAGUUAAUUGUUAUAUUUUAGGUGCCAACCUUUCUCCCUGGCUGUGAUGGCCUGCCCCCAUCCAUCCUCAGUUAAAACCAGUAGUGGAUGUGUUGGAAGCUGAUUUGGACCAAGAAUUUGAGUUUUAAGACUGAAUCUUACCUUUUCUUGAGUCAGAAGUCCCCCAUGAGUCAUAAACUUUUCAGAACAAGAGGUGAAAUCUGGCUGCAGUUUCACUUGAGCCAUUUAUUACCUCCUCCACAACAAUCUUUUAUUUCUACCCUACUUUAUCACUUGCAUCUGUCUCAUUAUCAUGCUUACAUUGAUCCUGUUUACUUUAUCCUAUCCUAAAAUUUUCCAUCUUGUUGUUUUUCUCUAUCCCACACCUUCACUCUUGUACCUGGUGCUUUACUUGUUUCGCCUCAAACAUCUUCCAAUUCUGACAACAGGCUAUCAAUCUGAAUUUUUAACUCUGUUCCUCUCUCUACAGAAUGCCAUUUGCUGAGUGUUUUGGGAAUUUUGUUUUCUUAUUUCAAACUUCCUGCGUUAGCAGUAUUUUGACCUUAUCUUAAUGCCCAUGCAAGUUGUAUUUUUUUUAAACAAAAUCCCCUUUUGCUCUCUUACAAAUCAUGCUUAUUUUGAUCCAUCAGGUUGGGCUUUCACAUUGACCAGGAACCAGUUGACAUCUAAUAGGAGUGCAACCACCAGUGAGAAUCAUUUGGAGGAGGAAGAGAUCCAUUAUACUGCUCUGAAUCUAUCUCCAACAAAUCCAACACAUAGUGCAGCAUGUCAAAUGGUGUAUGCAGAAGUUUAGCAGGGAGCCCUGUUAAAAAAAAAACUCUCAUCACCAUCCAGCUCUAUAUCAAAGUGACUGAAAACAGAACACAACACAAGCAUUUCACCAGUUUUGCUGCAUUUAAUUUUGUUCAAAGCUUUUAACAUUAUCUUGGCAAGAGGUUAGAACAAUGCCGAGCAGAUUUUCAUUUACUGACUAGGAAAUGUUGACAUUGAUAGUUGCACUGCUCAACAUGAACUGGCUCAUUAGGUCAAGGAAAGUUUUGGCUUUCGGACAUUGGCCUGAGCUAUGUGAGGCUUGGACAAACACAAGGGCUGGUCCCAGUAUUCCUGGACUCGGGAGGGAGAAGGAAAUCAUCCAGCCAUCGUUCCCACUGCUGAUUGCUACCCAGGUCAUUUACCAACAUCAAUCAGAACAAGACUUGGCUCCAACAUUUGAUCAGGUAGCUUUUGAGGGUCUGCUACUCUCGUGUGCAACAACAUAGCCAUUUGGCUAAGGCUCAUCCUAGCAUCAUCUGAUGCCCAUCAUAUGGUGGGGUAGAUGUUUUACUUGCCACCUUGGGUGUCUUCCUUGGUGGUGGCUCAUCUGCAACGUCGGCCACAAUUUUGGGAGCAGUAAACUGGAAAUCUAACGCAGUCACUCCAUCCAAGCAAGGAUCAACAUCUCCAGUUGUGGAGAAAAAGAAAGAAUGCAGAAAAACAAACAAUUGGUCUGAAAAUAUAAAGAAAUGUUGGAACAGUGAAUGUACUGUUUCAUUAUCAUUUGAGGAUGUUUGUAAAGUUAACAGCACUUAAACCAGGAAUUUUUAAUCUAGAUCUUUUUCUAAAAGAUGUUCAGAAAGAUAUUUUGGUUAUUUACUAAUUAGUUUAAUAUUAAAGGAGGUACAGAAGUGAAACGUCAUUAGAGCUGUAGACUAGACUGUGUCAUUGUGAAAUAAAGAGAAUCACUUUGAUACUUAAGUAUCUGUUCUCUGUUAUGGAGAUUGGAAUCAAUGGUUGGUUUAAUUCUGUCAUGGGAUGUGGGUGUCGUUGGCUAGGCCCCAAUUUCACGCCUAAGAGCAUAAGCAAUAAUGACAGGAGUUGGCCAUUCAGCAUCUUGAGCCCACUCUGUCAUUCAGUGAUCUACUUCAACACCAUUUUCCUGAACGUAUCCCCAUAUCCCUUGAUAACGCCCCACUAUUUCAGGGAAUGAGGGGGGGAAAUGGGGAAUUACAGACCUGUUAGCUUUACAUGAGUGGUAGAGAAAAAUGCCAGAAUUUAUUAUAAUGUGAUUGACUCUUAACUGCCUGGCUAGCAAUGUCCACAAUCUGUGAAUGAUAAAAGAAAUGAAUAAAGGAUGUGGUAAGCACUUGCUAUUA